Megalobrama amblycephala (Wuchang bream) is the source of this 1652-nucleotide long non-coding RNA. RefSeq lists it as uncharacterized. NCBI's taxonomy places the organism in Eukaryota, Metazoa, Chordata, Actinopteri, Cypriniformes, Xenocyprididae. The transcript is spliced from 5 exons. The record is from RefSeq and is a predicted model, not a curated record.
CUUCACAGACACAUUCAGGAGACACCUUAGACUUAUAUUACAUCUUUUAAAAACAUAAUCUAGGGCACCUUUAAGGAAAUUAUAUCAUCUGAAUAAAUAAUGUUGAUACCAAAUAUAUUAACACCUUCCACAGAUGGCCGGUAGGGAGUUUAGUUUUCACUAUUUAUUGCAUGCAGUUUUUUAGAAGAACUAGCCUAUCCUUUUAGUUUUAUAUUAUAUGCUUGCAAUAAACCUGUAAUCAAAAGAAAAAUAUAUGUAUUAUGCUUUUAGUAUCCAUUAAAUAAUAUCUUUUGUUAUAUGUUCUGUGUCUUGUCAGGACUUUUGUUGUACUUCCUGUUUUAUAGUGUCAUGUUUGUAGUCUUCCCUGUAGAUUCCCAAGAUGCUGUUUGCUGUAAGUUGUAGAUGGCUGUUCCCUAUGUUCCUUGGUUCUCCAUGUUUCUUGUGUUUGCUGGUUUCUCAUUUAUGUUUGUUUAAUACAACCCCUGCUUUUCUAGAUAUUAUUUAUAUCUGCUUAUUGCCUGCCAUCUCUUCCGCUCCCUCCUUUUACAGUGGUUGAGUAGCUACUGACAUGUAGUCAUUAUAUACUGGCCUGCCAAAAACUGGAUGGAUAGAUAAUCUAUGUAGUAAACUAUGGGCAGCCUUAACAGUAUAUUCCAGCCUAAAUCUAUCUGUAGACUACAUUACAUAAGGGGAAAGAAAGCAAACAUGGCCUCUCACUGCCCUCUGUCAUGUCUCUCAACAGGCCCACAGUAUGCAGCAUAACAGUGAUCUCUGCACAACUGCAGCCUGCUUUCAAACACCAGCACUUCUUCUGAGCCAGAGAGAAACUCAAAGCACAAGGCUGUCAGUCAAUGUCAGCGGAUCAGUAACAGACCUCAGACUCACCAUAAGGGUGAAGGGGAAGGUCAGCGGAUGAUGGUUUGAUUGGCAGGUGUAAGAGAGCCUGAGGAACAGAGAGUGCAGACAGCCGGGGCUCAGAUGAGGGACAUAUUCGUGAGGUAGCAUCUGAACCAGCAAUGAAGAAUGUGGAACCAGUUGUAUCAAUAUCAUCGGGGAAGGGGCUUUCAAGCACUCUUAUUCCCAAAGAGAGUCUUACAGCUCGAGCGGUCUGCCACAGUCUACAGUGAGAAUUGUGUAGUGUCCCGUCACUGCCAAAACCACAGUGUGCCAACGGUUAUCAUCCAGUCCUACUGCCUUAAAAGUGAUGCGUUUCCUGUGACCAUGGCCCUUCUGCAGGAAGUGGAGCUUGUUUUGGGACAGUCGCAGGCCAAGGAGCAGCUCAUCUGAAACUCCCUCCAACAGUGUGAAGAUGUAUUCACUCUUCUACACAUCAAAGAGAGUCAUUUGUGGGAUUUUCAGUGUGACAACAAUGGAGAACUCGGCGGGAAAGAAGUUACAAUUAAUGAAGAGCUGAGAUGCAGGGAAACUGAACAGCUGUGGAGAUCCAGAAAAUUGGAAUCCACGAGAACCUCUGGACUGGACCAUAUGGAUCCCAUCUUGCGCCCUGCCGGUCCCAGGAAUCACCCGAGACAGGAAGUCCAAUGGUAACAGAUCUGUAAAAGAAAUUCACAUCAAUUCAUCAUAAACAUAUGUAUGUUUUAUACUGUUUGCUUUAUAUGUAAAUUAAUAAAUAAAUAGGCAUACAGACAACU